Non-coding RNA from Heterocephalus glaber (naked mole-rat), 1426 nucleotides. NCBI's taxonomy places the organism in Eukaryota, Metazoa, Chordata, Mammalia, Rodentia, Bathyergidae. The record is from RefSeq and is a predicted model, not a curated record.
UAAGUCUGGAAAGAUUAUGAGAUAAAGUUUCCAAAAAUUGAGAAGGAGAAAUGAGAGCAUUCGAAAUAACAUGGGGUGAUAUGCCCAGAGAUAAGUGGAGCCAAGAUUGCAGAAGACAUGCAGAAGCAAAGGCCUCUCUAUGAGCUCCAUAUGUAUGAACAUCUAAUUCGUUCUGAUGAAAUCAAGAGCCAAAAGUGUGUGGAAGUGCUGCAGAAUUUUGUAAGUACUAUCACGUACUGUGCAGUUUCUUUCAAGAUGGCUUGAAAACAGCUCAUAAAUUGAAACAAUAUAUUGAAAAAGUGCCACUGACUUCUACAAUAUAAAAUAGACCCAGGAUGAAGGGAGCUAACUGCAUUCCAAGACAUAAUGAAAUCAUCUCUUUAGCUUGAUCAGAAUGAAGAUUUCCAGAGCUGGCAAGGAAGCUCAUCCUUCUAUCUGCAGUGAGUGUUUCAUGAAUUAAGUUUCUACAUACAGAUGAAACCUGGAUAAAGACCCUGGCCUGCAGGAGCCUCCUGCUCUCAUCCCUUCUGACUGACCUGGAUGCUUCUCCUUAUGUCACACCCCUCCACCACAUUGACAAUUUCCUUCCUAUGGUAGCUUGACAGAAAAAUAAAGUUAAAUAUUCAAACAGAUGCAGAGAAGACAACAGCACUUGGGAAACUGGAAGGAAGACAGAGCAAUGAGAACUGUUUUUAGAACAGAGGAUGUGGAAGUCAACGAGAAGGAAGAAAACCUCAAGCAAAUAUGAGGACAAAAUGAAGACACAACAUAAUUCCUGCACUGAACAGUAAUAUAGACCUAAAAGAUGGGGGCUAGUUACAUACCUCACCUAGACCUAUGAAGAAUGCAGUCCUGCCCUUUGAGAUCCAUCCCAGGCAAAAUUUUCCCAAGGCUCUCUGCCUUUCAACCUUACAUAACUAACUGGAAUGACCCCUGAUACUCUGGUCACCUAUUUACAUCUGAACAUCAUGAGGUCCUUCACAGGGAUCGAUACAACGUGAUUUCUGACCAAAGAUAAAAGGGUAAAAGGGAGCAAUUUGUAAGGUCAAUGAUGUGGAUGCAGUAAAGAGGACCUUAAUGGAGUCCAUUCUUGGUCACCUAACUUGUGUUCACAGAAAUAGAUCAGGCUAUUCUGGCUCUUAUAUUACCAACAAACCAUCAAUGAUCCUCUUGUCCUCACUGAGAGACUUAUUUGGGGAAAAUGACUGUCUAUAAAUCAUUGCACAACCCAAAGUCAUCAAGGAAUCAUAAAGUCAUGAAUAAGCAUCAAAGUGAAGCAAUUUUUCUGAAAACACUAUGUAUUACAAACAAUGCAACGCGAUUCUUUCUCUGAUGAUGGUAGUACAAGUUGGUACAACUAUAUUGGAAAAAAUUUUGGAGUAUCUGCUAAUGUUAACAUAUAGAAGCUUUAUUAAAGAGUCCAUCU